UUCAAAUCAAACACUUCGAAUUCGAUUUAAAUUUCUCGCCCAAAUCGAAUUUCACUUUUUGAACCAUCGUCGAAGCAAGCUCCUUCGACCCCACUUUGAUUCGAUCGACGGAUCACCAUCGCCGGCCUGUGAGGAUGGUGGAGUCUCCGUAACCCGGUUGUUAUUUGAGUUAAUCUAUUCGAGAUUUCCCGCUACUUGGUGCGUCGGUCUCUAUUUGUUCGUGUCUCAUCACACUCGGUUGAAACCCGGAGUUACAGAACGGCCGUCGAUGGGAAGCCAUGGAUGAAGUUUGGUCCCAACCUCGACCAUGUUAUGAGGAAAUGCUCAACCCUUCUUAUUGCCCUCAAGGUGUUUGUGAAAAUGCCUCUUCCAAGUUUUUUUUGUCUAUUGAUCUUCAGUCUCAAUUCCGUUCAGCUUCUAAGAUUGGAAAAGUGUUUUGAGUUUCAUUUUCCAAGAAAGAAACAUCUGAUUUGGUUUCUGAUUUCAACUUUGCCCUUGUUGGGAAGUUCUCCCAUAGCUAUUGGUCGUGGAAAGAGCUCUUAGCUUCCUUCGAUAACCUCACAUCGUCCGUUUAAGGAGGUAAAGAGGGGUUUCUGGGGAGGACACGUGCUAUGUGGAUCCCUAUCUUUGAUUGGAAAAGAACAUGUGUUAUGGAAUAAAUUAAAAAAGAAGACAGUUGCCCAGCUGUGGUUAAGACCAGACAGAUUAUCAAGUUUCUGAAACAAAUCGAACAUCUAAUAAUGAUGCACCAGGUUCUUGGUCCUCUGUACUAGCCGUAGUGCUGUAAAUAAAAUUGACAUGGACACUGACUGCUUGGCUUACGAAAUCUUGUGGGAGUACUUGACUAUUGAGGAACAGAUUGGGCAAGGAUAUUGCUGGCAAGACAUUUUUCAAACAAGAUAAUGCAGUAUUUUUCUUCCCAUGGGCGGAACUUUGAAAUUCAGCUUGAGAUAUCAAAAAGGAGUUCCCGCUAGGUACUGUAACUGUUGGAGUACCCAUGUUAGUACAAGUUGUUUGCCACGCUCAUAAUCUAUGACAUUGAUUGUGGAUUCCAGCAUGGCUGCUAAUGACAACUCGGGCUUCCAAUCACCAAUGGUUAUUUCAGACAUUAACAAAUACAAAAUUAGAAGAUACACUAGAUUGGAGCACGUGUGCUUUUGCUUUCCCGGAGCUUGGAGAAACGUGUUCUCGGUGAAGGUGUGUUGUCCCUCCUUACACCAGUUGUUAUGGUUCCUGAGACCCCACUUAUACACCCUAAGAAUGUCCGAACGAAGAUCCUUGGCGAGGUACUCGUUGGAGAUAACAUUGAAUGGACAUACCAACAUCUGGUUUGCCGCCCCUGAUUUCUUGCCUCUGUGAUUCUGCAAUUGACGAGCUUGAUCGUACGAAGUAGUUGUUCCUAGAUUUCUUCAAAGAUUGUAUUUUCCGUUGAUGCUGGAUUGAACUUCUUAAGUAUUAUAUUUUUAAUUUGGGGAUCUUGUAUUAGUUAGUUGUUAUGAUGGUUUAGGGCAUGGUCAUGGUUAAUGAUGUUUCAAAGUACCUAUGACGGUUAUAUUUCUACUUUUGUCACGUCUAUGAACGUCAUUGGAUUGACGUCAUUUUGUAAGACUUGUAAAGCUUUUUGGAUUAUCUAUAUAGAAUUAUGCUUUUAGUUA
Molecule: RNA transcript, 1655 nt
Organism: Andrographis paniculata
Lineage: Eukaryota; Viridiplantae; Streptophyta; Magnoliopsida; Lamiales; Acanthaceae
Exons: 8
Source: RefSeq, a predicted model, not a curated record